RNAcentral lists this ribosomal RNA (930 nucleotides) under uncultured bacterium. RNAcentral's name for it is "bacterial SSU rRNA". It matches the Rfam family "Bacterial small subunit ribosomal RNA", at positions 583 to 1501 of the family's 1533-position model. The record is from RNAcentral.
GCUCGUAUGAAGCGUGACUGAGCGACAUGAUGCUCAAUGCUGCUGAACUACUUAGCUAGAGAUGUCGAGGUAAUGUUACGUUGAUGAGAGGUGAUGAUUUUCGUAUUUCAAAAGACCACUACAGGCGAAGCAGUACUAGUCACACUGACACUGAGUACUGAGCGUGGGAGCAAAUAGAUUAGAGACCCGAGUAGUCACGCCGUCAACGAUGGUGUUGCAUAUACGUUUUGUACUUUGGUACUUCACUAAAAGAACGUGUGUGUAAGCUAACGCGUUAAAACACCCCCCCCCCUGGGGAGUACGGUCGCAAGAUUAAAACUCAAAGGAAUUGCGGGGAAGUUGCAGCAGCGGUGGAAUAUGUGGUUUAAUUUGAUAUAACGCAAAAAAACCUUACCCAAUUCUUGUAAUGCAAAGGAGUUUGUUCUGUUCGGAACUGUAAUCUUCAAGAUUUUGAAUGAUAUAAUACCUUUGCACAGGUGCUGCAUGGCUGUCGUCAGCUCGUGCUGUGAAGUGUCGGGUUAAGUCCCUCAACGAGCGAAACCCCUGUCACUAGUUGCUAACAGGUAAUGCUGAGGACUCUAGUGAGACCGCCGGUGUCAAACCGGAGGAAGGUGGGGAUGACGUCAAGUCCUCAUGGCCUUUAUGCCCAGGGCUGCACACGUGCUACAAUGGUACCGACAGAACGAUGCAAGACCGCAAGGUGGAGCAAAACGCUCAAAAGGUGCCCCAGUUCGGAUUGGAGGGUGCAAUUCGCCUCCAUGAAGUUGGAAUCGCUAGUAAUCGCGGAUCAGCUACGCCGCGGUGAAUAAGUUCCUGAGCCUUGUACACACCGCCCGUCAAGUCAUGGGAGCUGGCAGUGCCCGAAGUCGCCUCGAUUCAGGGGUGCCCACGGCAAGGCUGGUGACUGGGAUAAGUCGUAACAAGGUAACC